GACGAACGCUGGCGGCGUGCUUAACACAUGCAAGUCGAACGGAAAGGCCCUGCUUUUGUGGGGUGCUCGAGUGGCGAACGGGUGAGUAACACGUGAGUAACCUGCCCUUGACUUUGGGAUAACUUCAGGAAACUGGGGCUAAUACCGGAUAGGAGCUCCUGCUGCAUGGUGGGGGUUGGAAAGUUUCGGCGGUUGGGGAUGGACUCGCGGCUUAUCAGCUUGUUGGUGGGGUAGUGGCUUACCAAGGCUUUGACGGGUAGCCGGCCUGCGAGGGUGACCGGCCACAUUGGGACUGAGAUACGGCACAGACUCCUACGGGAGGCAGCAGUGGGGAAUAUUGCACAAUGGGCGGAAGCCUGAUGCAGCAACGCAGCGUGCGGGAUGACGGCCUUCGGGUUGUAAACCGCUUUCGCCUGUGACGAAGCGUGAGUGACGGUAAUGGGUAAAGAAGCACCGGCUAACUACGUG
This 468-nucleotide ribosomal RNA is filed under the name uncultured bacterium. RNAcentral describes it as "partial 16S ribosomal RNA". It matches the Rfam family "Bacterial small subunit ribosomal RNA", at positions 28 to 507 of the family's 1533-position model. The record is from RNAcentral.